UGGGGAAUAUUGGACAAUGGGCGAAAGCCUGAUCCAGCCAUGCCGCGUGAGUGAUGAAGGCCCUAGGGUUGUAAAGCUCUUUCAACGGUGAAGAUAAUGACGGUAACCGUAGAAGAAGCCCCGGCUAACUUCGUGCCAGCAGCCGCGGUAAUACGAAGGGGGCUAGCGUUGUUCGGAAUUACUGGGCGUAAAGCGGACGUAGGUGGAUACUUAAGUUAGGGGUGAAAUCCCAAGGCUCAACCUUGGAACUGCCUUUAAUACUGGGUAUCUCGAGUCCGGAAGAGGUGAGUGGAAUUCCGAGUGUAGAGGUGAAAUUCGUAGAUAUUCGGAGGAACACCAGUGGCGAAGGCGGCUCACUGGUCCGGUACUGACGCUGAGGUGCGAAGCGUGGGGAGCAAACAGGAUUAGAUACCCUGGUAGUCCACGCCGUAAACGAUGGAAGCCAGCUGUCGGCAAGUUUACUUGUCGGUGGCGCAGCUAACGCAUUAAGCUUCCCGCCUGGGGAGUACGGUCGCAAG
Molecule: ribosomal RNA, 518 nt
Filed under: uncultured Pseudomonadota bacterium
Lineage: Bacteria; Pseudomonadati; Pseudomonadota
Description: bacterial SSU rRNA
Rfam family: Bacterial small subunit ribosomal RNA
Source: RNAcentral